Molecule: ribosomal RNA, 253 nt
Filed under: uncultured bacterium
Lineage: Bacteria
Description: partial 16S ribosomal RNA
Rfam family: Bacterial small subunit ribosomal RNA
Source: RNAcentral
UACGUAGGCAGCAAGCGUUGUUCGGAGUUACUGGGCGUAAAGGGUGCGUAGGCGGCUUUUUAAGUUUGGUGUGAAAUCUCCCGGCUCAACCGGGAGGGUGCGCCGAAUACUGAGAGGCUAGAGUGCGGGAGAGGAAAGUGGAAUUCCUGGUGUAGCGGUGAAAUGCGUAGAUAUCAGGAGGAACACCGGUGGUGUAAACGGCUUUCUGGACCGUAACUGACGCUGAGGCACGAAAGCGUGGGUAGCAAACAGG